Molecule: ribosomal RNA, 163 nt
Filed under: Mysanthus uleanus var. dolicopsoides
Lineage: Eukaryota; Viridiplantae; Streptophyta; Magnoliopsida; Fabales; Fabaceae
Description: 5.8S ribosomal RNA
Rfam family: 5.8S ribosomal RNA
About the family: 5.8S ribosomal RNA (5.8S rRNA) is a component of the large subunit of the eukaryotic ribosome. It is transcribed by RNA polymerase I as part of the 45S precursor that also contains 18S and 28S rRNA. Functionally, it is thought that 5.8S rRNA may be involved in ribosome translocation.
Source: RNAcentral
AAAUGACUCUCGGCAACGGAUAUCUCGGCUCUUGCAUCGAUGAAGAACGUAGCGAAAUGCGAUACUUGGUGUGAAUUGCAGAAUCCCGUGAACCAUCGAGUCUUUGAACGCAAGUUGCGCCCAAAACCAUUAGGUUGAGGGCACGCCUGCCUGGGUGUCACAC